UACGGAGGGUGCAAGCGUUAUCCGGAUUUAUUGGGUUUAAAGGGUGCGCAGGCGGACCUGUUAGUCAGUGGUGAAAUCUCCCGGCUCAACCGGGAAACUGCCAUUGAUACUGUCGUUCUUGAGUACAGUUGAAGUGGGCGGAAUGUGUCAUGUAGCGGUGAAAUGCUUAGAUAUGACACAGAACACCGAUAGUGAAGACAGCUCACUAAGCUGUAACUGACGCUCAUGCACGAAAGCGUGGGGAUCAAACAGG
This 253-nucleotide ribosomal RNA is filed under the name uncultured bacterium. Its description in RNAcentral is "partial 16S ribosomal RNA". It matches the Rfam family "Bacterial small subunit ribosomal RNA", at positions 524 to 776 of the family's 1533-position model. The record is from RNAcentral.